AUGGGCCCCAAGCACAGUGCAGCUGCCUUAUGGAAGAGCAGCCAGAAUGUUUUCCACAUGAAUCCCUGCCCCUGUUACUCCUCACUGGGCAGAGUCUCUUGACUUGGGCCAACACAACCACCCUUCCCCCCCCAUACACUUUUGCCAGUGGCAGCUCUGCGAUUUUCUGGGAAGGAAAUCCCAGAGACAAUCCACAGCCCCUCUUCCAUGGCAACUGUGGUGGUACAGCCCUUACUGCUUUUGAGCUCGGGAAGGAAUACAGGGCCUGGUUGCAUUACUGGCACCUCCAACGUGCUGCAGCCACCAUAUGGAGAUGAGCCGAGUCUCUCUUCUCUGUGAGCUCCAAACCCCUACUCUUCACCAGGCAAGGCCUCCAGCUCAGACUACAGAGCAGCUGCCCUACUCCUCACUGAGUAUUUCCAGCAGUGUUUCUUGGGGGAGGAGCUUCCAGAGGCAACUGACAGCCACUGCUGCUGCCAGUGCGGCAGUUCUGCCCUUACUGCCCUUGGAAUGAGGAAGGAACAAAGGGUCUGAGGCCUUUAUUUGUGCCUCCAGCAUGCCAUGGUUGCCAUAUGGAAAGAAGCCCAAUCUCUCUCCCUGUAGGCACCAAACCCCUGCCCUUCACAAAGCAGGGCCCCCAGCUUGAGUCCAAAGUACAACUGCUCCAGCCCCUGGCUGAACAUUCCCACUGGUAGUGGCUCUGUGUUUCUCUUGGAUGGAGCUCCCAGAGGCAACUAAAAGCCCUUCUGCCACUGCCAGUGCUGUAAUACUGCCCUUACCCCAUGGACUGUCAUAGGAACAAAGAUCCUGGGUUCUUUACUUACACCUCCAGCAUGCUGCAUCUGCCCUGAAGAGAAGAGGCCAUUUUGUUUUCCCCAAGAGCCUACUGCCUACCGUGCUUAUCACCAGGCAGGGCCCCCUGGCUUGGGCCCAUAUUACAGCUGCCUCCAGUUAGACUUAUUGCUGCAGUUGGUAGUGGCUCUAUGUUUCUCUGAGGUGGAGUCCCAAGAGACAAAUCAAAGUCCUACCAUUGCUAUUGCCAAGGUCCUUUACCUUGCUGUCCCAAGCCUGGGCAGGGAACAUAAGGCCUGACCUCACCCCAGGACUGAAGUAUGCAGCUGGGGAAUGCCAACCUGAGAUCUGCAGCCAGCAAGAAAUAAGCCUACACUCUCACAGCACUGAAAGGGAGCACAGCUACGAAUGCUAGGAAAUAUAGAGGAGCCACAUGGCUGAGCAAGAGCCUACUAAAUGGCCAUUACACUUAGGCACCAUCUACUAGAUCACAGCCCAAACUUCAACAAUAAAUAUACUUUGCUAGGCUGAGGUGGGCGGAUCACGAGGUCAAGAGUCUGAGACCAGCCUGGCCAAUAUGGUGAAACACCAUUUCUACUAAAAAUACAAAAAUUACCUGGGCAUGGUGGUGUGCACCUAUAGUCCCAGCUACUCAGGAGGCUGAG
Molecule: long non-coding RNA, 1457 nt
Filed under: Homo sapiens (human)
Lineage: Eukaryota; Metazoa; Chordata; Mammalia; Primates; Hominidae
Description: HSALNT0142244
Source: RNAcentral